GACGGAGGUGGCAAACGUUGCUCGGAAUUACUGGGCUUAAAGGGCGUGUAGGCGGCCGACUAAGUCGGGUGUGAAAAACCUCGGCUCAACCGAGGAAUUGCACUCGUUACUGGUCAGCUAGAGUGCGAGAGGGGCAAGUGGAACUCCAGGUGUAGCGGUGAAAUGCGUAGAUAUCUGGAGGAACGCCGGUGGCGAAAGCGACUUGCUGGCUCGUAACUGACGCUGAGGCGCGAAAGCCAGGGGAGCAAAC
RNAcentral lists this ribosomal RNA (250 nucleotides) under uncultured bacterium. RNAcentral's name for it is "partial 16S ribosomal RNA". It matches the Rfam family "Bacterial small subunit ribosomal RNA", at positions 524 to 773 of the family's 1533-position model. The record is from RNAcentral.